UCACGGGAGACACACGGCGGGUGCUAACGUCCGUCGUGAAGAGGGAAACAACCCAGACCGCCAGCUAAGGUCCCAAAGUCAUGGUUAAGUGGGAAACGAUGUGGGAAGGCCCAGACAGCCAGGAUGUUGGCUUAGAAGCAGCCAUCAUUUAAAGAAAGCGUAAUAGCUCACUGGUCGAGUCGGCCUGCGCGGAAGAUGUAACGGGGCUAAACCAUGCACCGAAGCUGCGGCAGCGAACGUAUCACUUAAAGCGAUUCAGCGGGUUACGAUUGACGGAGCGAAGCGACGUCAAAGCGUAUACAAAGUCGAGUCGGUUUAAGGAUACGUUCGUUGGGUAGGGGAGCGUUCUGUAAGCCCGUGAAGGUGGCCUGUGAGGGUUGCUGGAGGUAUCAGAAGUGCGAAUGCUGACAUAAGUAACGAUAAAGCGGGUGAAAAGCCCGCUCGCCGGAAGACCAAGGGUUCCUGUCCAACGUUAAUCGGGGCAGGGUGAGUCGACCCCUAAGGCGAGGCCGAAAGGCGUAGUCGAUGGGAAACGGGUUAAUAUUCCCGUACUUGGUGUUACUGCGAAGGGGGGACGGAGAAGGCUAUGUUGGCCGGGCGACGGUUGUCCCGGUUUAAGCGUGUAGGUGUGUGUUCCAGGUAAAUCCGGUUCACUUUAACACUGAGGCGUGAUGACGAGGCACUACGGUGCUGAAGCAACAAAUGCCCUGCUUCCAGGAAAAGCCUCUAAGCAUCAGGUAACAUCAAAUCGUACCCCAAACCGACACAGGUGGUCAGGUAGAGAAUACCAAGGCGCUUGAGAGAACUCGGGUGAAGGAACUAGGCAAAAUGGUGCCGUAACUUCGGGAGAAGGCACGCUGACACGUAGGUGAAGUGAUUUACUCACGGAGCUGAAGUCAGUCGAAGAUACCAGCUGGCUGCAACUGUUUAUUAAAAACACAGCACUGUGCAAACACGAAAGUGGACGUAUACGGUGUGACGCCUGCCCGGUGCCGGAAGGUUAAUUGAUGGGGUCAGCGCAAGCGAAGCUCCUGAUCGAAGCCCCGGUAAACGGCGGCCGUAACUAUAACGGUCCUAAGGUAGCGAAAUUCCUUGUCGGGUAAGUUCCGACCUGCACGAAUGGCGUAAUGAUGGCCAGGCUGUCUCCACCCGAGACUCAGUGAAAUUGAACUCGCUGUGAAGAUGCAGUGUACCCGCGGCAAGACGGAAAGACCCCGUGAACCUUUACUAUAGCUUGACACUGAACAUUGAGCCUUGAUGUGUAGGAUAGGCGGGAGGCUUUGAAGUGUGGACGCCAGUCUGCAUGGAGCAGACCUUCAAAUACCACACUUUAAUGUUUGAUGUUCUAACGUGGACACGUAAUCUGGCAUGCGGCCAGUUUAUGGUGGGUAGUUUGACUGGGGCGGUCUCCUCCUAA
This 1417-nucleotide ribosomal RNA is filed under the name Salmonella enterica subsp. enterica serovar Typhimurium. Its description in RNAcentral is "bacterial LSU rRNA". It matches the Rfam family "Bacterial large subunit ribosomal RNA", at positions 975 to 2293 of the family's 2925-position model. The record is from RNAcentral. Lineage: Bacteria; Pseudomonadati; Pseudomonadota; Gammaproteobacteria; Enterobacterales; Enterobacteriaceae.